Molecule: small RNA, 235 nt
Filed under: Frankia canadensis
Lineage: Bacteria; Bacillati; Actinomycetota; Actinomycetes; Frankiales; Frankiaceae
Description: ydaO-yuaA
Rfam family: c-di-AMP riboswitch aptamer (ydaO/yuaA leader)
About the family: This family represents a conserved RNA structure found upstream of the ydaO and yuaA genes in Bacillus subtilis and related genes in other bacteria.
Source: RNAcentral
UCGGGCGGCACGCCGAAUCCUGCCCCCGGUCGACGAUUUCUCACCCACAGGCGGCAGGAACGGGGGAACCAUCUCCGAGCAUCGAAAGGAUUCGAUGCUCUCGGGGUGAAGCCGUGAGCGACGGGCACCGGACCGUGAUUCGGUGCGACCACACGUCCCCAGGAAAUCCCUGGCAUGGCCGGGCAGUUCCCAGCCCGAAUCCGACAGCUCACCUCGCAGGCGUGGGGAAGGACCA